Molecule: ribosomal RNA, 169 nt
Filed under: uncultured bacterium
Lineage: Bacteria
Description: partial 16S ribosomal RNA
Rfam family: Bacterial small subunit ribosomal RNA
Source: RNAcentral
GCUGGAUUCGCUAGUAAUCGCGCAUCAGCCAUGGCGCGGUGAAUACGUUCCCGGGCCUUGUACACACCGCCCGUCAAGCCAUGGAAGCCGGGGGGUGCCUGAAGUGUGCAACCGCAAGGAGCGCCCUAAGGUAAAACCGGUGACUGGGGCUAAGUCGUAACAAGGUACC